This 253-nucleotide ribosomal RNA is filed under the name uncultured bacterium. RNAcentral describes it as "partial 16S ribosomal RNA". It matches the Rfam family "Bacterial small subunit ribosomal RNA", at positions 524 to 776 of the family's 1533-position model. The record is from RNAcentral.
UACGGAGGUUGCAAGCGUUAUCCGGAUUUAUUGGGUUUAAAGGGUGCGUAGGCCGGCCGAUAAGUCAGCGGUGAAAUACCAUGGCCCAACCAUGGAACUGCCGUUGAUACUGUCGGUCUUGAAUAUGGUCAAGGUAGGCGGAAUGUGUAAUGUAGCGGUGAAAUGCUUAGAUAUUACACAGAACACCGAUUGCGAAGGCAGCUCACAAAACUGUUACUGACGCUGAGGCACGAAAGCGUGGGGAGCGAACAGG